CACUGUAAUAUAUACCGGUCUCUGCAUACGUCAUCUUUUAAUAUCCAUCCGCACUCGAAAAUACUCCCCACUGCUCCGAACCGCAGUAUAUCAAUGCGGCGGAGUGAUAUCUCCCUACCCAACGGCUCUGGCUCUAGAAUUUGCUAGAACACGGUAGCAACAGAAACCGUCCCCGAGCUUCUGAUUGGACGGAGUGAUUGUUUGUUUGGCCAGCGAUUGGUUGCCGUGUUACAGUAAAGGCGUCGUCUUUUCCCAGUGAGUGUGGGUCAUGUACAAUGCCUGGCAUGUUGUCAACGCUUAGGUGAUAGUGGACAACAGAGGUACAGUGAGUUUUCAUAUGUUCCUGAAACAAAGUGACCCAGGUGAUUAAACACGCGAAGCAUCUGAGAUUUAGGUCUGCGGUCUCCCAAAUUGGCCAUGGGAACCAACGCAGCACUGUGGAGAGCUAUUGAAAAUCAGGUUCAAAUACUGACCAGUGAUUUGCCUCCCCACUUUUAGCUGCCACCAUUAUUUCAACAAGCCACAGCACUGUAAAAUAAAUCACAGAGCCAAAGCUCUGAUGAGGGUCUGUA
Non-coding RNA from Epinephelus lanceolatus (giant grouper), 572 nucleotides. NCBI's taxonomy places the organism in Eukaryota, Metazoa, Chordata, Actinopteri, Perciformes, Serranidae. The record is from RefSeq and is a predicted model, not a curated record.